Molecule: signal recognition particle RNA, 292 nt
Filed under: Saimiri boliviensis boliviensis (Bolivian squirrel monkey)
Lineage: Eukaryota; Metazoa; Chordata; Mammalia; Primates; Cebidae
Description: Metazoan signal recognition particle RNA (ENSSBOG00000015154.1)
Rfam family: Metazoan signal recognition particle RNA
About the family: The signal recognition particle (SRP) is a universally conserved ribonucleoprotein. It is involved in the co-translational targeting of proteins to membranes.
Source: RNAcentral
ACUAGGCACGGUAGCACAUGCCUGUAGUCGCAACUACUCACGAGGCUGAGGUGUGAGGAUGGCUUGAACCCAGGAGUUCUGGGCAGUAGUGGGCUAUGCUGAUUGGGUGUUUGCACCAGCAUCAAUAUGGUGACCUCCCAGAAGUGGGGUACCACCAGGUUGCCAAGGAGGGAUGAAGUGGCCCAGGUAAGAAAGAGAGCAAGUCAAAACUCCCUUGCUGAACAGUAGUGGGAUAGCACCUAUGAAUAGCCACUGCACUCCAGCCUGGGCAACAUAGUGAGACCCUGUCUCU